AUGUGCGUGUCGUUCGUAGUGGUGGUGGCGCUGAGCGGGGUGGUGGCGCAGUUGGAUUGCAAGCCGCAGUUGCUUAAGGCUUGCGAUCCAGCCAUCAUAGACGGCAAUGCUCCUUCGACAUUGUGCUGCUCCAUCCUCACAGCGGAGAAGGAGUGCCUCUGCGGAUACUUGGAGGAUCGUGCGUACCGGCAAUACGUCCGUGGCCCCAACCUCCGCAAGACAAUCACCUCCUGCGGAAUACAUGUUGGUGUGUGUGCAAUUGGAGUAUAG
This 270-nucleotide ribosomal RNA is filed under the name Triticum aestivum (bread wheat). RNAcentral's name for it is "partial small subunit ribosomal RNA". The record is from RNAcentral. Lineage: Eukaryota; Viridiplantae; Streptophyta; Magnoliopsida; Poales; Poaceae.